ACGGAAGGCAGCAGUGGGGAAUAUUGGACAAUGGGGGAAACACUGAUCCAGCGACGCCGCGUGAGUGAAGAAGUAUUUCGGUAUGUAAAGCUCUAUCAGCAAGGAAGAAAAUGACGGUACUUGACUAAGAAGCUCCGGCUAAAUACGUGCCAGCAGCCGCGGUAAUACGUAUGGAGCAAGCGUUAUCCGGAUUUACUGGGUGUAAAGGGAGCGUAGACGGCAAAGCAAGUCUGAAGUGAAAUCCCGGGGCUCAACCCCGGAACUGCUUUGGAAACUGUUUAGCUAGAGUGCAGGAGAGGUAAGCGGAAUUCCUAGUGUAGCGGUGAAAUGCGUAGAUAUUAGGAGGAACACCAGUGGCGAAGGCGGCUUACUGGACUGUAACUGACGUUGAGGCUCGAAAGCGUGGGGAGCAAACAGGAUUAGAUACCCUGGUA
RNAcentral lists this ribosomal RNA (434 nucleotides) under uncultured Lachnospiraceae bacterium. RNAcentral's name for it is "partial 16S ribosomal RNA". It matches the Rfam family "Bacterial small subunit ribosomal RNA", at positions 341 to 792 of the family's 1533-position model. Lineage: Bacteria; Bacillati; Bacillota; Clostridia; Lachnospirales; Lachnospiraceae. The record is from RNAcentral.